RNAcentral lists this long non-coding RNA (235 nucleotides) under Elaeis guineensis (African oil palm). Its description in RNAcentral is "long non-coding RNA (EGUI_LNC082470)". The record is from RNAcentral. Lineage: Eukaryota; Viridiplantae; Streptophyta; Magnoliopsida; Arecales; Arecaceae.
GUCCUAUAAAUAAGUCACUGUCAAACAGUGAAUGGAGUAACAGACAUCUAGUUAUAACUGAAAGAAAAAUACAAGAACUCUAUAUUUAUGAAUUGAUUAAGCCUAAAGACUUGAACUUCAGUCUAAAGGUUCUCCCACUAUUUUAUACGAAUUGAUAGCCUUUAUCUCCAAUCUGAAGAAUUACCUUAAUUUCUUAGCAGAUACUAGAAUCCACACAGACUGCAUACAGGUCCGA